CCCUAUGGGGUGCAGCAGGCGCGGAACCUCUGCAAUACGCGAAAGCGCGACAGGGCCACCCCGAGUGCUAGCCGCUGAGGUUAGCUUUUCCUUAGUGUAGUAAGCUAAGGAAAUAAGCGGGGGGCAAGCCUGGUGUCAGCCGCCGCGGUAAUACCAGCUCCGCGAGUGGUCGAGACGAUUAUUGGGCCUAAAGCGUCCGUAGCCGGCCUAUCAAGUCUCUGGUUAAACCUCAAGGCUCAACCUUGGGAAUCGCUGGAGAUACUAUCGGACUUGAGGCCGGGAGAGGCUGGAGGUACUCCCAGGGUAGGGGUGAAAUCCUAUAAUCCUGGGAGGACCACCUGUGGCGAAGGCGUCCAGCUGGAACGGACCUGACGGUGAGGGACGAAAGCCAGGGGCGCGAACCGGAUUAGAUACCCGGGUAGUCCUGGCCGUAAACGAUGCGGACUUGGUGUUGGGAUGGCUUUGAGCUGUCCCAGUGCCGAAGGGAAGCUGUUAAGUCCGCCGCCUGGGAAGUACGGCCGCAAGGCUGAAACUUAAAGGAAUUGGCGGGGGAGCACCACAACGCGUGGAGCCUGCGGUUUAAUUGGACUCAACGCCGGACAUCUCACCAGGGGCGACAGCAGGAUGAUGGCCAGGUUGAUGACCUUGCCUGACAAGCUGAGAAGAGGUGCAUGGCC
RNAcentral lists this ribosomal RNA (677 nucleotides) under uncultured Methanothermobacter sp. RNAcentral describes it as "bacterial SSU rRNA". It matches the Rfam family "Archaeal small subunit ribosomal RNA", at positions 321 to 999 of the family's 1478-position model. Lineage: Archaea; Methanobacteriati; Methanobacteriota; Methanobacteria; Methanobacteriales; Methanobacteriaceae. The record is from RNAcentral.